RNAcentral lists this ribosomal RNA (253 nucleotides) under uncultured bacterium. RNAcentral describes it as "partial 16S ribosomal RNA". It matches the Rfam family "Bacterial small subunit ribosomal RNA", at positions 524 to 776 of the family's 1533-position model. The record is from RNAcentral.
UACGGGGGGGGCAAGCGUUGUUCGGAAUUACUGGGCGUAAAGGGCUCGUAGGUGGCCAACUAAGUCAGACGUGAAAUCCCUCAGCUUAACUGGGGAACUGCGUCUGAUACUGGAUGGCUUGGAUCCGGGAGAGGGAUGCGGAAUUCCAGGUGUAGCGGUGAAAUGCGUAGAUAUCUGGAGGAACACCGGUGGCGAAGGCGGCAUCCUGGACCGGUAUUGACGCUGAGGAGCGAAAGCCAGGGGAGCAAACGGG